CCUCCCCCUAUCUCCGCCAUUUUGUGGACAGACGGUGGAGAGUCGCAGAAGUGUUCACAUUACUUCAGCCUUCACGACCAUAACCAGAUAACCUCUCACUCACACGCAUGAACCCUUGCAAGUAAUUGAACUGUGAAGAAUUAGCAGCAAUGAAUCUGAAAUAGUAAUAGUACAACCAUCACAACAGUCACCACUGCUAAAUACUACUACUACUACAACAGUGAAGUGGUGUCCAUUAGAGGUGAUGACUGUGUUGGUGAUAGAACCCUGGCAGGAAGAGGUGACUUUGCCUUGGAUAUUCAGAGUGAGGGAGACUGGCAGAAGACACAAGGUUCGGAGGCCUCCAGAGAGCUGCCCAGAGUGAAGCUUGUGGUAUAGAGGAACAGCUGCUGAUCAUCAAGCUUACGGAGUGACUGGAGGAAAGUGGGAGGAGCCUGGAGGGAGUGGUGGAGGUACAGUACUUGGAGAAAAUCCCUUCACCAUGACGACUGGGUGUCUGCUGUACAGACCACCGACCAAUGAUACCAGGAUAUGUGACCACCACCACCACCCUCACCACCACCACCACCACCACCACCACCACCACCACCACCACCACCACCAUUGGAGUCCCCUCUCUAGUUGCACAUUACGGCCCUGUUGUGUACCCUGGUGGCCUUCAUAGUUGACCGCUGAGUGCAGCUGUCGGUGACUGCAGGAAUGGACCUCAGAUGGCGGACACAACAUUACCAAGUCAAGAAGUUGUCCAGUAUUUUAUCUCUGCUCUCAAACAAGCAAUGACCAGUGGUGGUGUUGUUCAUGUCUGGCUUGUGUGUGUGUGUGUGUGUGUGUGUGUGUGUGUGUGUGUGUGUGUGUGUGUGUGUGUGUGUGUGAGUUUGUUCAUCCAUUAUGAUUUGAAGAGAUUGUGUUUGUAUUUUUAUUGUGGGACUCUGUGAUUAUACUUUGAAAUAAUAUGGCCUUAAAAUUGACCUUUGACCCUGUGUGGUAGUGGAGUGAGGCUUGCGACAGUUAGGAAUUGGUUGUCAAAAAGUGACCACAUUGGUUUUUCCUCAAUUGCUUUAGCCAUGAAAGUUCUAUUCCUUGUGUUCUUUGUCAUGAUGAUGUUUGAUUCCCUUGGUUUCCAAUUGGUUGCCUUUGUGUGAGUUUUGAUCCAGUCAUUUACUUCCCUACUUACUGAAUUCCAGGAAACAAAGGGAUUGCUUGCUCCUUUUGCUUCCUUGUGGACAAAUUCACUGCUAAUAGUUUGUUAUUUGGAAGUUUGAUUGAAGGCUUGUUCCUCCCUCUCCUCCACCCUAUGACUACUUGAUGCUAUCUAGUAAAAUUCUUCACAAUGAUGUUUUCCAUGCCUUCGCUGCCCUAAACCCUUGGAAAGCUUGGAGGGGUCCCUCCUCUUGUUCUUCAAAACUGCAUUUCUGUGCUUGCACCUUGCCAAGUCAAACUCUUUCAACUCUGUGUGUCAACAUGUAAUAAUAUUACUUCUUGCUGGAAGUUUGCCUACAUUCAGCCUGUUCCUGAAAAGGGUGACCAUUCUAAUCCCUCAUACUACUGUCCUGUUGCUUUAAUUUUCUGCCUAUCUGAAGUUUUUGAAUUUAUCCUCAAAAGGAAGAUUCUUAAACAUCUAUCACUUGACAACUUUCUAUCUAAUUGCCAGUAUGUGUUCCAUAAUGGCCAGACAAAAGAAAACAUGUGUUCAGUGGCUUCAGCCACCACCAAUGGUCUCUCUUUUUAAGAUUUCCUGCUUAACUAAUGUUUAAGUAUCUCAUUACAAAGAUAAGAAUAUAGAUAUCAUAAAGAUGGUUAUUUAUAUUGAUUAGCAUAUUAGCAUUAUGAAUGUUCCUGUUCAUAUGAUUAUAACUAUCAGCAGAAAAAAUUGUAUAACAUGUGUCAUUCAUUUACUUGAAGCUGCAUUGUCAAGGAAGCUUGAUACACUUUUCAGUGAUGUGUUUAUGUGCUAACAUAUGUGUGCUUGGAGCAUAAAAGAUAGUCUACACUAUAUUUUGACAGAUAAACAGUUGGUAUGAAAAAAUUACUUUUACCUACAGCACUUACUUAAUUUGCAUUUGGGCACCAUCUCUUUGAAAAUAGUCCAUUUGAGCAGCAAUACAGCAGCACAUUCAGCACUGUUGUCACCCCUGAAACUUAUUCUGGAAGUGUUGUUCUCUAAGCAUGUCAAGCAUCUACUGUUUGUGCAGAAUCAUCUCCACAAUGGACAGAAGAAGCAUCAGGCCAAAGUCUGUCAGGAAUUCUGUCAGCCAGCCAUGAAUGACCCAACCUUCAUGUCAAAGGACAUCUCUGGGAACAAAAUUUGGGUUUACAGGUAUAACCCCCUAACCCAAACAAGUCUUUACAAUAGAAGAGUCCAGCAUCUCCAUGCAGGGCAUGAGGCAGGUCUGGAAAACCACUAAGAGCAUUUUUAUUCAAUGUCUUUGAGAUUCAUAGGAUAGUUCAUCAUGAAUUCAUCCCCCAAAAAAGAUCAUCAACUGCCAGUUCUACUCAAGUGUUUUGAGGCAUCUGAGGACAUUAAUUUUGGCAGAUAUGGCUUGAAAUGUGGUGCAAGGCUAAAUGGAUGCUCCAUGAUGAUGAUGAUGAUGCACCCUCUCUUACAUAUUAUCUCUUAUAAUGCAUGGGCUUCUCAGAUGCAUGAUUAUCCCUUUGCAGCUGCCCUACUCAUCAGAUUUGGUACCAACCCUUGUGACUUGUGUCAUGCUCCCCACAUGGACAUUCAUUCUAUGGAAACAAUGAGAAAUUGAUCUCAAGAUGAGAUAAGUCUUUAGCCAUGACAAGUUGUAGCCAGCCAGGGAUUGAACCUCUCACUGAGAGAACACAAGGAUGACACCUUAGACAUUGAGACCAUGAUGACUGUCAGGUCCCAAGUUCAGUUUUAGGACAUUUAUACUCCUAAUCUCUGCACUUUUUUUUCCUGGAAAUAAUAAAGAUGCAGCUGAA
This is a long non-coding RNA of Scylla paramamosain (green mud crab), 2946 nucleotides long. RefSeq lists it as uncharacterized. NCBI's taxonomy places the organism in Eukaryota, Metazoa, Arthropoda, Malacostraca, Decapoda, Portunidae. The transcript is spliced from 7 exons. The record is from RefSeq and is a predicted model, not a curated record.